This 641-nucleotide ribosomal RNA is filed under the name Kribbella sp. I12A-02650. RNAcentral's name for it is "bacterial SSU rRNA". It matches the Rfam family "Bacterial small subunit ribosomal RNA", at positions 97 to 752 of the family's 1533-position model. The record is from RNAcentral. Lineage: Bacteria; Bacillati; Actinomycetota; Actinomycetes; Propionibacteriales; Kribbellaceae.
GGCGAACGGGUGAGUAACACGUGAGCAACCUACCUCCAACUUCGGGAUAAGCUCGGGAAACCGGGUCUAAUACCGGAUAUCACCUCCGUUCUCAUGGGUGGGGGUUGAAAGUUCUGGCGGUUGGGGAUGGGCUCGCGGCCUAUCAGCUUGUUGGUGGGGUAAUGGCCUACCAAGGCGUCGACGGGUAGCCGGCCUGAGAGGGCGACCGGCCACACUGGGACUGAGACACGGCCCAGACUCCUACGGGAGGCAGCAGUGGGGAAUAUUGCGCAAUGGGCGAAAGCCUGACGCAGCAACGCCGCGUGAGGGAUGACGGCCUUCGGGUUGUAAACCUCUUUCAGCAGGGACGAAGCGAGAGUGACGGUACCUGCAGAAGAAGGACCGGCCAACUACGUGCCAGCAGCCGCGGUAAUACGUAGGGUCCGAGCGUUGUCCGGAAUUAUUGGGCGUAAAGGGCUCGUAGGCGGUUCGUCACGUCGGGAGUGAAAACUCGGAGCUCAACUCCGAGCCUGCUUCCGAUACGGGCAGACUAGAGGUAGGCAGGGGAGAGCGGAACUCCUGGUGUAGCGGUGGAAUGCGCAGAUAUCAGGAAGAACACCGGUGGCGAAGGCGGCUCUCUGGGCCUUACCUGACGCUGAGGA